This 255-nucleotide ribosomal RNA is filed under the name Diaphus anderseni (Andersen's lantern fish). Its description in RNAcentral is "partial 16S ribosomal RNA". It matches the Rfam family "Archaeal large subunit ribosomal RNA", at positions 1989 to 2242 of the family's 2987-position model. The record is from RNAcentral. Lineage: Eukaryota; Metazoa; Chordata; Actinopteri; Myctophiformes; Myctophidae.
GUGACCAUGUGUUCAACGGCCGCGGUAUUCUGACCGUGCAAAGGUAGCGCAAUCACUUGUCUCUUAAAUGGAGACCUGUAUGAAAGGCACCACGAGGGCUUAGCUGUCUCCCCUUUAAGGUCAAUGAAAUUGAUUUCCCCGUGCAGAAGCGGGGAUAUGCUCGUAAGACGAGAAGACCCUAUGGAGCUUAAGACAUAAGGCGACCCACGUCAAGGACCCCCUAAAGAGAAAAGAACAGAGUGGACUUCGCCGAAA